This 448-nucleotide ribosomal RNA is filed under the name uncultured bacterium. Its description in RNAcentral is "partial 16S ribosomal RNA". It matches the Rfam family "Bacterial small subunit ribosomal RNA", at positions 28 to 523 of the family's 1533-position model. The record is from RNAcentral.
GACGAACGCUGGCGGCAGGCCUAGCACAUGCAAGUCGAACGAAGUCUUCGGACUUAGUGGCGGACGGGUGAGUAACACGUGGGAACGUGCCUUUAGGUUCGGAAUAACUCAGGGAAACUUGUGCUAAUACCGAAUGUGCCCUUCGGGGGAAAGAUUUAUCGCCUUUAGAGCGGCUCGCGUCUGAUUAGCUAGUUGGUGAGGUAAAGGCUCACCAAGGCGACGAUCAGUAGCUGGUCUGAGAGGAUGAUCAGCCACAUUGGGACUGAGACACGGCCCAAACUCCUACGGGAGGCAGCAGUGGGGAAUCUUGCGCAAUGGGCGAAAGCCUGACGCAGCCAUGCCGCGUGAAUGAUGAAGGUCUAGGAUUGUAAAAUUCUUUCACCGGGGACGAUAAUGACGGUACCCGGAGAAGAAGCCCCGGCUAACUUCGUGCCAGCAGCCGCAGUAA